GACGAACGCUGGCGGCGUGCUUAACACAUGCAAGUCGAACGGAGAGGCCCUGCUUUUGUGGGGUGCUCGAGUGGCGAACGGGUGAGUAACACGUGAGUAACCUGCCCUUGACUUUGGGAUAACUUCAGGAAACUGGGGCUAAUACCGGAUAGGAGCUCCUGCUGCAUGGUGGGGGUUGGAAAGUUUCGGCGGUUGGGGAUGGACUCGCGGCUUAUCAGCUUGUUGGUGGGGUAGUGGCUUACCAAGGCUUUGACGGGUAGCCGGCCUGAGAGGGUGACCGGCCACAUUGGGACUGAGAUACGGCCCAGACUCCUACGGGAGGCAGCAGUGGGGAAUAUUGCACAAUGGGCGGAAGCCUGAUGCAGCAACGCCGCGUGCGGGAUGACGGCCUUCGGGUUGUAAACCGCUUUCGCCUGUGACGAAGCGUGAGUGACGGUAAUGGGUAAAGAAGUACCGGCUAACUACGUG
Molecule: ribosomal RNA, 468 nt
Filed under: uncultured bacterium
Lineage: Bacteria
Description: partial 16S ribosomal RNA
Rfam family: Bacterial small subunit ribosomal RNA
Source: RNAcentral